GCAGCCUGGAAUCGAACCACCAACCUUGUGCUUCCCAGCACACCUUCUCUUACCCCUGCGCCACGACGACCCCGAUACGUUUGGCGUCCGCAGGAGAAGAUCUCGCCGCAGCCAAUGGCAGCCGACUUGUUCAGAGGGAUCAGUGAGAAGACACAUGGUAGCAGAUUUUGAUAAUCCACGUAUCCACUGGGAUGACUCUGAGCCAUUUCUGGUCAAAGUGAUUUAUUUUUAAAAUAAUCCGUACCAUGGCAACAAGAGAUACGCCUCAAUGCACUGAGCAGUUCACAGUGUUUGCACACAACAAAAUAGUAGUGGCGUACAUUUAGUCAACCAAUAAAAGACCAUGUAGGUCUGAGGUUUAUCAAAAUAUGGUCCUCUGCUUGCUAUAAAAUGUCUUUCCAAGCUGUUCCAAAUUAGGUUCUUGAACGUGCAGACAGAAAAGGCUUUUUGCUAUAAGUAAAUCUCCAAUUUCAGAUGUCUAUUUUUAUACUAAAAAGAAAACACCAAAGUGUUCUCUUCAAAGAAGUCGUAAUAUGCAGCUCUGACAUUGAAGGUCAAUGCAUUUAAUAUAAAGAGUUCAUAGCAACUGCAGCCACCUCCUGUAUCUUCCUCCUGUCACCAGCUGUCAGUAAACACUUUAGCAUUGCAUGGGGAUUUGGAUUAAUUUAGUUAAGAAAAUGGCGUAUUUUGAUAACUGUAACCUAUUAAUCAAAAUGGCACAGCACGGCACACACUAGCCAGAUGUCGCAUUGGCACGAGUUUCACUGAAUAAAUGAGAAUAUAUACCAGUAUAACUAAAGACCACAGUUUUAUCAUGCACUGUUUUUCUCUAGUUCUUCUUUUUACAGAUGGAAAAACUGACUGCGCUGUGGUGGCCUUGAUCAGAUAAGACCUCUUCAUUGCUCGCCUGGGGAGAGUUUAAGCUGAAGUGUUGGUCCAAAGAACCAAAAGAACCAAAAUACCAGGAGUGGCCAUAUAGAUGGAUAAAGAUAACCUCAUAAAGAAAAGGAAAAUAGGGCGGCCGACGUCUCGCUGACCCACUUUCUGCGCCGCCGCUUAAAGAGGGAAGCCGCCAAGUAGCUGUCCGCGGUGCUGAACCCGGGUACCGAGGAGGAGGAAGAGGAGGAGCGGAGGAAGAGGGAGAAGGAGGCAGAUCCUCCACCCAAGGCCCCCCUUUGGUCUCUUGUCGUGAACCGCCGGGCGGCGGGUUCAACCAAACCCACCACAGCGGUCGAUGCGACGCUGAAACUCAGCAGCAGCAUAUUACAAUACACCGUGCAUUUUUUUCGGCUUUUGUGUUGUGUUCGCUUUAUUUAAGACUACCUAACAUGCAUAUUUAGCGCAAUUUCACUACUGUAAACUGAUUUAUCUUGAACAAGUCUUUAUUUAUGGAUGCGGCAUUCGGGUUUAUUCAAAUUAGAAUGAUAAAACGCGCUGGGACGCCCUCAGUCAGAGUCCGCUUGGUAUUAAAGAAGGCGCACCAUGGCCCCCUAUGGACAUUUAAUAAAGAAAACUGUCUGGCUCCCCACACUCGAAGGAAAUCGAUGCAUAACUGGUCAAAUAGUAAUAAUUAUAUAAUAUAUAAUAUAAUAAUUUACAAUGACUGCAAAGGAAAUCAAACAUUUUAGAAGCUAAUCUAUAAUUAAGUAUGAUGGUUUAUUGAUCCUAGCAGACCCAACCGGUUUACAUUUCUACUUAGCUAGAGCUAAGUACCACGUUCCUUUUAAACUGCAAACAAUAUACGACACCAAUAAUAUACAAUACCAUGGAGUAGGGAUCAAAAUCUUCCUCAUAUUUCUGAAAUAGAUAGAGAAUUAACAUGUAGCUCAUUAAAACUGAUUGAUACAUUAAUAAUGGAUUAGCAAACUAGACAAAAUGAAAAUGAAAGGAACUUAGAAAUAUUAGUAAGAUUUCCUUUGACAACCAGUUUUAUAGAACAGAUGUAAAACCCGUCUAUUAAAUGAAAAACAUGAAGACACAGGGUGACUUUCAAAGACUCCCACUUUCAUUCAAUAAUGGCGAGCACAGUUAGCAGGAACCCGCGCACACUCACACAAAAUCAGUCCUAAUCACUCCUCCCAAAGACGGCAGCAAUUUAAUUUGAGGGAAGAAAACAGAACAACGGACAUCACAUUAAUCAUUUACAUCUUUAUUUUUGUGUUUUGAUGCAAACAAAUAAAGAACCCGUUUGUAACAUUU
Gasterosteus aculeatus aculeatus (three-spined stickleback) is the source of this 2199-nucleotide non-coding RNA. NCBI's taxonomy places the organism in Eukaryota, Metazoa, Chordata, Actinopteri, Perciformes, Gasterosteidae. The record is from RefSeq and is a predicted model, not a curated record.